UAUCUAGUCUAACUAAUACUAAAAGGGUUAUAUGAGGAGUAGAGAAGCUAUCCACGUCCUCAUUUUAAAUUAGCCAAUAGGGUGAGUUUAUUUGUCCACGUCACACUGGUGUUGUGCUGCUUUUUGCUUGAUCCGUAAAUUGAAGUAGUUGGCCCAUAAACCCAAUUCGAAAGAAACCCUAAAACAGCCGAGGCUGAGUCGAUGAAUUCAUAUGUCUUCAUCGUUCCAAAUUCCUCCAAUCCUGACCGUUUUACUCGCAACCCACUCUUAAUUAUUCCUUUAUGCUCCUUCCACCUUCCUCUCUUGCUCUUAUAUAAACCCGUCGUCAAAGCUUUCAUGGAAUCAUAUUCAACAACUUGGAUCGAUGGCCAUGAAAUCAGUUCAAUCCUCCGGCAAGUCUCCUCUUGCAUUGUAAUUCAACAAUCUCACACCAUGUUAGAGUUUUUAUUCUUUACCGAAGCUUGAAAGAGAAUUUAAACGUCCUCAGCCAGCCAUGUCGAAUACAUAAGUUCAAAAGAAUAUGAAGAGCCCAUCGUAUGUUUCCUUGGAUUUAUCUGUUUCAUCUUUUUGUUUCAACUGCUUUCUCUCUAUAUCCUGACAAAUUCAAUUUCUUUUCACAGCGGCUCCAGAUUCCUUGCCUUUAGUCUAUUCUGGCUCCUUUUGUGUAUGUUUAUAAUGGUAUAGUCGUUUCCAUAAUAUUUGAAGAUAUUUUUGAUGUAUUUUCACGUACCAGUUUCUAAGAGUCCUUUUUAAAGACAGAGGGAUGUUUGUGUUGGUUGUUUAGUUAAGCUACUACGACGCCGUACAAGUGGAGUUCUGGUGAUUUUCAUUCCAGUUCAUGUGAACUUAGGAAGCCAUUUUCAAAAGGUAGUGAAGAUCUGGUAAAAGCUCCGGCUACAAAUCCACCCGCCAAAGGUAUAGUGAAUUUUGAAAUCAAUAGUUCAGUCUAAAUCUGAACCAAGCCUUUCCAUUUUCUAGAUCUAGAAGUAUAUACUGUCAAUAUCGGCCAGAUCCCCUCAGCGCUAGCGUCAUGGACUACCGAAGCAAUCAACAGUGGAUCCUUCUGCCGCAUAGAUCCUGACAUGGAAACAUGGCUGAUCCCUAAACAGAAGCUACUAGACAUAGCAGAAAGCAAGAGCUCAUGGCUCGACAUGGUACUAUAUUUUUUCGUAACCUUCACUUAUGCCGGUUUUAUUUUUUCAAUUGGGAAAUUUUUCAUUUUAAAAUAUUUUUGCCUCAUCUUGAACUAACCUAAUUAGAAGGGGGAUUCAUGGAAUUCAUCAAUGUAGAAUCCAGAUCAAGACAGAGAACCAGAAGAUGCUAAAAAGUGUGUGUGUCUAUUAGUUGAAGGAAAUUGAUUUGAUUCCCCAUUUUGGAACUAAUCUAUUCUCUGACUGGAACAUAUGUAUAAGGAAGCUGAGGACCAUAAACAAAUGAUGCUUAGUCAAAUGUUGUGUUCCCAAGCCUGAGAGAGAAGUAAGUCCCAUCUAAAUGCUUGGAGUUCAUCUAUUUUUUUCUUCCUUUGUUUCUUUUGGGUCUGAAUUGUAGUUUUAUCCGUGGAAUAUUGUAACUGGUUCUAAGGCUAGCGUGGAUGCAUAGGUUCUUGGGAAUGAAGAAGCUUUUUUUUUUGCACCAGAGAGCUUUGGUUGUUGUUGUUACCAUUUCAAACCAGUUUAUUUAUUUGUAGAUGUUGUAGGCCACAUACAGUCUGUCCAAGGCUCGGCUCUCAACAACGUCACCGCAACUACUCGAGUUGUAGUCCAUUUUCUCAUUUCCCCGUAAGCCCUCAUCAAACAUUUUGUUGCUUUGAUUUUCACUUAUUCGGUCAAAUUUUAAAAAUAAAUUGAACACACUCCUUCAACAGAACUGUGGUGGUGUACUUUUAGGAGUUCAGUAUUAUACCUAGCUCAUGGUUCCGAACUUGCUGUGAUUCUGGUCAUAGAUGCAACUAUUGGUGCUUUUGAAGCGGGCUUAGAUAAUUUGAAAGGGCAGACAAGGAGCAUACACGGGUUCUUAUAGCUUUUGGUGUGGAGCAAGUCAUAGUCACAGUCAACAAAAUAGAUAUUGUUGCGUAUUUAACGGCCAUAUUUGAUUUGAUUAAGCUAGCAUUAGUUGGUAAUCAAGCCUAUAAGACGCAGUCAAAGCUUGGAGAAGCAAAGAGCAAAGCUGAGAAUUUAAAGAAUUAAGCUCAGGAAUCACAAAACCAUUGUGUUGGGGUCCAAAAAGUAAAGAGUUUCAAGAAGAGAGUAAUAAUGACCAUAAUGGUGUAAGAAGACACUAUUAUAUGGAGUUCUUAUCUUUGUGCUUGCAGGAAAAGUUGAGGUUGCUCAGCAAGCAGUAAAAUGUUUGAUGAACCUGGAUCCAGAUGACACUUGUGGUUAUGUGCUCAUGUCUAAUACUUAUUCUUCUUUUGGGUUGUUAGAAGAGGCGGUUGGACAGAGGGUUUUGAUGAAGGAAAGGCAAAUGGAGAAGGAAAUAGUGUGCAGUUCAAUGGAAACGAAGUUCACGACUUUGUUUCUUGCGGUGAAAGUCACCCUGAAUCCCCAGAGAUUUACAGUUUACCCGGUGUGUUAACUGGGAAGCCUCUGCUCUAAAAUCAGAAGGUACUUCUCAGUUUAGUGACCAUCUUGGUUAUUUAAAAGGCACCAUAUGAUCUGAUGCCAUCGCAUAAGAAUCAAAACAACAAAUUCAGUGACAAAGUAUAAUCUGAAUUUUGAGCUGGUGGACGAAGAGGAUUGCUGUUACUUCCAAGCAACCAAAAAACACGUUGUACAAGCUCGAGGUGGAGACAUCUUUGAUGUUUACAGAAAGAAAAGAGUCAACCAGAAAAUUUUGAAACUUUGUAGAGCGUUUUUCUCAUGACUUUUUUUCUGUAUGCAAUUGUUGGAGACUUGGAGUUUAUAAGAAAAAUAAUGUUUGUUCAACGACAAGUACUGUUGUUUGGUUUGUCUGGAUUCAUCAUUCAUGUAAUUAUUAUUAUUUCUUCUUUUAUGUGUUUCCUCUUAUAAAUGUACUUGAAUUUCUCUUAUGCUAGAAAUCUGCAACUAGAAUGGGUUUCACUUGGCUAACAAAGAAAUUAUCAGUCUUAUAGUUUUGGGAUGUAUUCAAAGGUUGUCUUUAGGAAAUGACAAUUCAGUAAUAGUAAUUACAUACAAGAUUCCCCCUCUUCUAAAC
Long non-coding RNA from Brassica napus (rape), 3174 nucleotides. RefSeq lists it as uncharacterized. Lineage: Eukaryota; Viridiplantae; Streptophyta; Magnoliopsida; Brassicales; Brassicaceae. The transcript is spliced from 2 exons. The record is from RefSeq and is a predicted model, not a curated record.